CCCUGCUUAGUUUCAACAGUAUCAUCCCCGCUCUCAAGGCAGAUCUCCAUCUCAUUCUUUUCAUUGCCUUGCAGAACAGCACGGAACUGGCCUUCAAGUAGAGGAAGGAAGACGGUGUAAAUAGUCUGGGCAUCAUCCUGAACUCCUUCACCACCAUCCCUACUUUCCACUAGCAUGAACUGGGUCUCCAAAGGAAUGUCUUUCCCACAAAUGCCCAUCCUCUGGGUCAUCCACCAUAACUUGAAACGGAAACAACACAUAAAACGAAGACCUUCUAAAACGCCAACAGGAAAGACAUGGAGACUUUUGCUAUGAGAAGCAGUGGCACCAAUAAAUGCACCAGCAACGAGUCCCACACCCGAUCCAGGAGUCAAGAUGAUGUUGUCUGGCACUCCAGUUAAAAUGGUCUUCCCAUGAACCACAAGGUUCCCAUCGUUGAUUGAAAUCUUGGGUGUGACAGUCAUUGUUGAUGAGCACCGAGUUACAGCAAAGAAAGAGUCACAACUAGCUAGGAGAUGAGCAGCUCUUGCUCUUGCAAAGCUUAAGGAAGCUUUAUAAAUAAAAUUCAGAAUGUGUAAAGCUCAAUAGAAGCGCAAUCACGAGGGAGUGCUUCUUCUACGAGAGAUUGAUACGCUCACAGCAAAGCUCAGUUGCAGAAAUGGGUAAGCGGCGGCACA
Molecule: unclassified non-coding RNA, 677 nt
Filed under: Hevea brasiliensis (rubber tree)
Lineage: Eukaryota; Viridiplantae; Streptophyta; Magnoliopsida; Malpighiales; Euphorbiaceae
Source: RNAcentral